This is a long non-coding RNA of Quercus robur (English oak), 2139 nucleotides long. RefSeq lists it as uncharacterized. NCBI's taxonomy places the organism in Eukaryota, Viridiplantae, Streptophyta, Magnoliopsida, Fagales, Fagaceae. The transcript has 2 exons. The record is from RefSeq and is a predicted model, not a curated record.
AGCAUUCAGUGAAGAUGAUGCUGAAAUCUCAAGUAACAAAAGCAGGGGCUGUCAAGAAUUAAAGGCAGAUGAAAAUGGUAGUGUUUUGAUUAAAAAGAAGAAGAGCAGAUUGAAGAAACGGUGUCGUUAGACUAAAUGUACAGCUGUCAAUCAUUUGUUUGUGUUGAUGUAAAUAGCUUACACGUGUAGGACUCUGAUUAACUAGUUUGUUUUGAUGGUUAGUUAGUUAUUUUAUUUGCUCUGCUACGUGUAUAUAAAGAAGGGAACAACUUGUAUUUGCAGUGAGCUUCUAGAUAUUUCUCAGAUCAAUAAAUUCCCAUUUCUAUUUAGAAAAGCUCUCUCCUUUUUACAUGGUAUCAGAGCUUCCAAAGCUCAUCAAUGGCGUCCAACAUUGCUGCAGAUUCUGAAACACCACCAACAGAUCCUUUGUUUUCAACGAAUCCUUAAAUUGCUACAGAUCACAUAUCAAAUUCGACUCCUUCAAUGGAUGAUCAAAAUACCAAUCCUUCAAGCCCUUACUACCUUCCACCUUCUGACAAUUCUGUGGUUCUUGUUUCACAACCACUCACUGGUCCUGAGAAUUACCUGAGUUGGUCGAGAGCUGUGUUUCUCUCUUUGAGUGGUAGGAACAAAUUUGGCUUUCUCAAUGGCCAAAUCUCCAUGCCUGAUCCAUCUUCAUCUCUGUACAAUACUUGGUACAGAUCAAACACCACGAUUCUCUCUUGGCUAGUGAAUUCCUUGAGCAAAGAGCUUCAAUCUAGUGUGAUGUACAUUCACACUGCGAGGGAUUUAUGGAUCGACGUGCAUGACAGGUUCUCUCAGCCAAAUGCUCCAAGAUUCUUUGAAGUUCAGAAAGAAAUUUCGAAGCUUUCACAAGGUAAGAUCUCGGUGAGUUCUUAUUUUACAAGAUUCAAGAUUUUGUGGGAUGAACUUGUGAAUUAUCAAGCAUUUCCUACCUGCACUUGCACUUGCACUUGUGGUUCUAAAAAAUCUCAGUUAGAUGCAUAGAAAAAGGAUCAAGUUUUUCGUUUUCUCAUGGGGCUUAAUGAUAGCUAUGCUAAUGUUAGAAGUCAAAUUCUGAUAACUGAGCCUCUCCCUGGCAUCAACAAAGUUUACUCCUUGAUUUUGCAAGAAGAGAAACGUAGGCAGAUUGGACAAGCAGAUAUGGUUCUUGAACCAACUGCUUUGUAUGCUAAUAAUAGCUCAAACGCCAAGGGUUAUCAAGGACAAACCUAUCAUGGUGGGAAUCAGCAAGGGCAUCAAGGUAGUAAUCAUGGAGGAUAUGGUGGAAAAGGAGGGAAUUCAAAGAAAGAAAGACCUAUCUGUGCUUAUUAUGGAGUUGUUGGCCAUAUUGCAGAUAAAUGUUACAAGCUACAUGGUUAUCCCCCAGGUUAUAAGCCUAAAGGGAAAUCUUCUGCCAAUUAGGUUUCUAGUGCAGGAAAUUUUGGAAAUUUCUCUCCUAAUCUUGGUAGUUUUGGGAAUUUUGCUUCUCAGCCAUUAUCUGGUUUUCCUAAUCAAGUUAAGAUGAUGAAUUGUUCACCACAGAUGAUGGGUUACUCACCACAGCAUUCUGGUACACAACCACAAUCUCAAUUCAAUGUGCCUCAAUGUCCAAUCACUUAAUCUCAGUGUGAGCAAUUGCUGUCCUUCCUUGCUUCUCAGUCUCUUAAGGAAGCUUCUAAUCAUCAAGUUGCUCCUACUCAUCAAGCAGCUUCAGUCCUAUCACCACUUGCAAAUGUUGCUGCCAGUUCUAGUGCUUCUUUGCCACCUCAUUUCAUUAAUAACUUCUUAGGACCUAGUUCAUUGGAACAUGAUUGGACUGGGUAAAGCAACAAGAGGCCUAUAUCUGCUGCAACACAAUUCUUUUCCAUCAUCAUUUGUGCUUGCUGUUAGCUCACCUGCUCCUUCUCAAACUUCUGCUGCAAAUUUUACUACUGUAACUUCUGACUUGUGGCAUUUUCGUUUAGGACAUCCUUCUCAUGCCAAGUUGUCUUUGUUAAAUAAAACUGUAUCUGGUUUGACAGUAAAUAAGUCACAUUGUUGUGACAUUUGUCAUCUUGCUAAACAAAAGAGAUUGUCUUUUCCUUCUAGUACUCAUGUUUCAAAUGCUAUCUUUGAUUUGAUUCAUUGUGAUCUCUG